GUCAAUUGCUAAGAACUGGGUCACUGCCCAGCCCUGGAGCCAGGAAAGGGGUCAGCCCCACCCGAGCUACAGGAACAGGCAAUAGGAAAGGGAUGAUUUUUUUCCAAAUGAAAAUAAAUCAUGGUGCUAGUACCAGAGGAAGGGGGGAUGGAUGCUGGGCAGGCCAAAACAAUAGAUGCCCACUGAAGAAGCACUCCAUUCCCAGGUCAUCCUUGUUAAUAAGGAAGUGGGAGGGACAGGAACCAAAAACACUUAUUUAUGAGGAUCCGGGCCAGGGUCAGGCAUCGAGCAUCAGCAACUCCCUACCCUGCCUUUCUACACAGUAGCACAGUCUUUAUAUGAUAGAAAUUUGGUUGCAGCUUCAAUGUGACAUACACAUGCUUUCAACUCUCAAGGCUAACGGCCACUACUGACAGAUGAAGGGGCUUCCUCAGGGGCAGAGGCACAGUGUCCGGUGAUACAGGCUGGCACCUCGAGAAUCAGGGAUGGGAUUUUCCUGGGAGCCACAGGGUUCAUACUUGAGGGAGGCUUGGGAGUUUUUCACUCUCUGCAUAAUGGGUCUGUUCCCCUGGGGAUAACCCACGACAAGAUAUGCCUUGUGAAUGUGGGUGGCAGAGGGACACACAGGUGCAGGGGCAUCUUCCAGCCCUGGACGGUGCCACAUGAGGGAUGGAUGUAAGACUGGCCAUAUAGGUGAAGUGUCCGAGGCUCAGAGAGAUGGCAGGGUUCACCUCUGGACAGAGCAGGACAGAACUAGAAUGAAUGUAUAACACCGGGGAAAAGAUUGUUAGUGAGAAAUGCUCCACACAAACACAUUCCAAGAACAUGAGUGAGAGAAAGAGAUGGACUGUGCUUGGUGGUGGUGGUUCGGUGCACUUCCCUCCGGGUUGGGCUGGGCUGUGGUGACAGAGGAGAUGGGUACAAGGGAAUUAUGAGAAUUUUAGAUGCAUUGCUCAAAAUUUAGGGGCUUGGUGUGUCCAGACUUUGAUGUGGGAUAAGAGAAAAGGAGAGCCCUCACGGCGGGACAUAAAUGGGUUAAUCAGGUUGGGAGAAGUGGGUGUCCAGAUAAUUCCACCCACAAGUCCAAGUGGGGAGCCUGGGUCCAAGCAGAAAAGACAGUUUCCUCCUUUAGCAAUCAAAGGAGUCCAGAGGGGGUGCCCAGCCUUGGGCCAGAGGGAGAAAGGAAGAGGGAAAGCUUUGCUCUGAGGAUGAGGUUUAGAGCAGAAGGAAACAGAGACCACCCAGAAAAGGGAGACUUUUCCUGUGCCAAGGCGGAGACCCAGGGGACUGUGCACAGUUAUCUCGGCCCUUUGAGCGCCUCCGUUUCCCUUGUCUGUGGUCAAGCCUAGCUCUGUAUUCCAGCCAGCUGUGGGAGGAUGGGGUGACAAAGUGAUGCUCAAAGAGAAUGUGGGGCCAGCAGGGGCAGCCCAGGACUCUGGACUGAGGCCUUCAACAGAGAAGUCUCCCCCUCCCCCUCCC
This 1479-nucleotide long non-coding RNA is filed under the name Homo sapiens (human). Its description in RNAcentral is "HSALNT0140776". The record is from RNAcentral. Lineage: Eukaryota; Metazoa; Chordata; Mammalia; Primates; Hominidae.